RNAcentral lists this transfer RNA (66 nucleotides) under Brachythemis contaminata. Its description in RNAcentral is "tRNA-Leu". The record is from RNAcentral. Lineage: Eukaryota; Metazoa; Arthropoda; Insecta; Odonata; Libellulidae.
ACUAUUUUGGCAGAUAAGUGCCAUGGGUUUAGAAUUCAUAAAUGUAAGAAUGUCUUACAAAUAGUA